This 72-nucleotide transfer RNA is filed under the name Rugositalea oryzae. Its description in RNAcentral is "Rhodoplanes sp. Z2-YC6860 tRNA". It matches the Rfam family "tRNA". From Rfam's summary of the family: Transfer RNA (tRNA) molecules are approximately 80 nucleotides in length. Their secondary structure includes four short double-helical elements and three loops (D, anti-codon, and T loops). Lineage: Bacteria; Pseudomonadati; Pseudomonadota; Alphaproteobacteria; Hyphomicrobiales; Nitrobacteraceae. The record is from Rfam by way of RNAcentral.
GGGCUCUUAGCUCAGCGGGAGAGCGUCCCCUUGACAUGGGGAAGGUCACAGGUUCAAUCCCUGUAGAGCCCA